This 425-nucleotide ribosomal RNA is filed under the name uncultured bacterium. RNAcentral's name for it is "bacterial SSU rRNA". It matches the Rfam family "Bacterial small subunit ribosomal RNA", at positions 354 to 796 of the family's 1533-position model. The record is from RNAcentral.
GUGGGGAAUAUUGCGCAAUGGGGGAAACCCUGACGCAGCGACGCCGCGUGGAGGAUGAAGGUCUUCGGGUUGUAAACUCCUUUUCUUGGGAAAGAUAAUGACGGUACCCAAGGAAUAAGCCACGGCUAACUCUGUGCCAGCAGCCGCGGUAAGACAGAGGUGGCGAGCGUUGUUCGGAAUUACUGGGCUUAAAGGGCGAGUAGGCGGUGGAGCAAGUCUGAGGUGGAAUCUUAGGGCUUAACCCUAAAACUGCCUUAGAAACUGUUUUACUUGAGUCAGUGAGGGGAGGGCGGAAUUCCUGGUGUAGCGGUGAAAUGCGUAGAUAUCAGGAGGAAGGCCUGUGGCGAAGGCGGCCCUCUGGCACUGUACUGACGCUGAGGCGCGAAAGCGUGGGGAGCAAACAGGAUUAGAUACCCCUGUAGUCC